RNAcentral lists this transfer RNA (61 nucleotides) under Hydatigera parva. RNAcentral's name for it is "tRNA-Tyr". Lineage: Eukaryota; Metazoa; Platyhelminthes; Cestoda; Cyclophyllidea; Taeniidae. The record is from RNAcentral.
UCUGGUUUAACAUAUUUAAUGUGAAGAGUUGUAAACUCUUUUAAGGCCUAGCCAACCAGGU